AGUGAACGCUGGCGGUAGGCCUAACACAUGCAAGUCGAACGGCAGCACAGUAAGAGCUUGCUCUUACGGGUGGCGAGUGGCGGACGGGUGAGGAAUACAUCGGAAUCUACUUUUUCGUGGGGGAUAACGUAGGGAAACUUACGCUAAUACCGCAUACGACCUACGGGUGAAAGCAGGGGAUCUUCGGACCUUGCGCGAUUGAAUGAGCCGAUGUCGGAUUAGCUAGUUGGCGGGGUAAAGGCCCACCAAGGCGACGAUCCGUAGCUGGUCUGAGAGGAUGAUCAGCCACACUGGAGCUUAGACACGGUCCAUACUCCUACGGGAGGCAGCAGUGGGGAAUAUUGGACAAUGGGCGCAAGCCUGAUCCAGCCAUACCGCGUGGGUGAAGAAGGCCUUCGGGUUGUAAAGCCCUUUUGUUGGGAAAGAAAAGCAGCAGGUUAAUACCCCGCUGUUCUGACGGUACCCAAAGAAUAAGCACCGGCUAACUUCGUG
Molecule: ribosomal RNA, 492 nt
Filed under: uncultured bacterium
Lineage: Bacteria
Description: partial 16S ribosomal RNA
Rfam family: Bacterial small subunit ribosomal RNA
Source: RNAcentral